RNAcentral lists this non-coding RNA (29 nucleotides) under Rattus norvegicus (Norway rat). Lineage: Eukaryota; Metazoa; Chordata; Mammalia; Rodentia; Muridae. The record is from RNAcentral.
UGGCAAAGAAGUACAGAGAACUAGUUUGG